CCAGCCAUGCCGCGUGUGUGAAGAAGGCCUUAUGGUUGUAAAGCACUUUAAGCGAGGAGGAGGCUCCUGUAGUUAAUACCUACAGUGAGUGGACGUUACUCGCAGAAUAAGCACCGGCUAACUCUGUGCCAGCAGCCGCGGUAAUACAGAGGGUGCGAGCGUUAAUCGGAUUUACUGGGCGUAAAGCGUGCGUAGGCGGCUUUUUAAGUCGGAUGUGAAAUCCCCGAGCUUAACUUGGGAAUUGCAUUCGAUACUGGGAAGCUAGAGUAUGGGAGAGGAUGGUAGAAUUCCAGGUGUAGCGGUGAAAUGCGUAGAGAUCUGGAGGAAUACCGAUGGCGAAGGCAGCCAUCUGGCCUAAUACUGACGCUGAGGUACGAAAGCAUGGGGAGCAAACAGGAUUAGAUACCCUGGUAGUCCAUGCCGUAAACGAUGUCUACUAGCCGUUGGGGCCUUUGAGGCUUUAGUGGCGCAGCUAACGCGAUAAGUAGACCGCCUGGGGAGUACGGUCGCAAGACUAAAACUCAAAUGAAUUGACGGGGGCCCGCACAAGCGGUGGAGCAUGUGGUUUAAUUCGAUGCAACGCGAAGAACCUUACCUGGUCUUGACAUAGUAAGAACUUUCCAGAGAUGGAUUGGUGCCUUC
This 642-nucleotide ribosomal RNA is filed under the name Acinetobacter sp. Its description in RNAcentral is "bacterial SSU rRNA". It matches the Rfam family "Bacterial small subunit ribosomal RNA", at positions 388 to 1021 of the family's 1533-position model. The record is from RNAcentral. Lineage: Bacteria; Pseudomonadati; Pseudomonadota; Gammaproteobacteria; Moraxellales; Moraxellaceae.